UACGUAGGGUGCGAGCGUUAAUCGGAAUUACUGGGCGUAAAGCGUGCGCAGGCGGUUUGCUAAGACAGGUGUGAAAUCCCCGGGCUUAACCUGGGAACUGCGCUUGUAACUGGCAAGCUAGAGUGUGGCAGAGGGGGGUGGAAUUCCAGGUGUAGCAGUGAAAUGCGUAGAGAUCAGCAGGAACACCCGUGGCGAAGGCGGCCCCCUGGGCCGUACCUGACGCUGAGGCGCGAAGGCUAGGGGAGCGAACGGG
Molecule: ribosomal RNA, 253 nt
Filed under: uncultured bacterium
Lineage: Bacteria
Description: partial 16S ribosomal RNA
Rfam family: Bacterial small subunit ribosomal RNA
Source: RNAcentral